This 370-nucleotide unclassified non-coding RNA is filed under the name uncultured Ceratobasidium. RNAcentral describes it as "sequence contains ITS1". The stretch from base 1 to 105 matches the Rfam family "5.8S ribosomal RNA", at positions 50 to 154 of the family's 154-position model. Lineage: Eukaryota; Fungi; Basidiomycota; Agaricomycetes; Cantharellales; Ceratobasidiaceae. The record is from RNAcentral.
GAAAUGCGAUAAGUAAUGUGAAUUGCAGAAUUCAGUGAAUCAUCGAAUCUUUGAACGCACCUUGCGCUCCUUGGUAUUCCUCGGAGCAUGCCUGUUUGAGUAUCAUGAAAUUAUCAAAAUAAAUCUUUUGUUCACUCGAUCGAUUUUAUUUUGGACUUGGGGGUCUGCAGAUUCACGUCUGCUCCCCUUGAAUGCAUUAGCUGGAUCACUGUAGACUCGGUUCCACUCGGCGUGAUAAGUAUCACUCGCUGAGGACACUCGUAAAAAAGGUGGCCGGGAUUAUUAGAGAACCGCUUCCAAUAGUCCAUUAGCUUGGACAAUUACAUUAUGAUCUGAUCUCAAAUCAGGUAGGACUACCCGCUGAACUUAA